Molecule: unclassified non-coding RNA, 12674 nt
Filed under: Leishmania donovani
Lineage: Eukaryota; Euglenozoa; Kinetoplastea; Trypanosomatida; Trypanosomatidae
Description: gene:LdHU3.31.2340(CDS-product:hypothetical_prote in_conserved)
Source: RNAcentral
CGGACACACCCUCUUCUCCCCACCUCCCAGACGUAAGAGCGAAUCCGCUCGCCGACUGAAGUGCACAUCAGCGUUCACUACUCGAUCACGAGAGGCUGCUGCGGCGUGUGCGCACCCAUUCGUUCUUUUUCGCUUUUUUUUUCGAUAUUGUCUCCCUUGAUUUCAUUCUAUCCGAGUUGCACGUUGCCAUCGCCGCAUACACGCACACAUACUCUCCCUCCCUCCCUCCCCCUUCCCCCAAGGAGACGCAAAAGAAGAAAAACAAAAGAAAAACCGACAGGCUGCGCGUGCUCCGUUUUCUGCCCACUUGUGCCUCGCGUGUCGUAUACGAGAAGGUACUCUGCUUUCAAACGCAUCAACCUUCCCACCCACCACCACCACUCCUCCUUUACCAUCACUCGCGGACUAGAGAGGAUCUGCGUUUUUCUCUUCUGUAAAGCAUUUUCUUCGCAGGUUUCUUUGCCCUCUUGACUCACUGUAAGAGGUGCGUAACUGCGACCGGACAAGGACGCACAAAGAAAGGGAGAGAGGGAGCGCGCACCUGCUAAUACGUCGAUAUCGCGUAUCAAGGGAGCAAGCAACAACAACAUUGAAGGAGCGCAUCCAACGCCGUCCCAGUCCUACAUCUUGUAGAGACGUGACGACAGGCAAACACCGCUAAAGGCGACGGACACGGUGCUCUUGCCCCCCCUCCCUCCCCUCUCCUUCUUUCUCCCCCGUCAUCAGCUCUCGCCUCUUGCACCCUUCUCUUUCGCUGCUUUUUCUAGUCCUUAUUAUUUCUCACCCCUCCCCCCUCACUGCCCCCUCACCCCUCACCGCCCAUUUUUCCCACCCCCUCGUCGUCCUCCUCCCCCUCGCCCUCCGCUUCCCUUCUCCUUGUACGCGUUGCUUUUAGUAUACAAACACACAUCUCUUUCUCUAUAUACAUAUACAGUAUUAUUUUUUGAAUAGUUUUGCGUUGCCGCUGCUUUCUCCACCACCCAAGAAAGAAUCGGGGGCGUGCGCUGUAUUUUUGGGGCCAUCCCGGUGGUAACUGACGGUGUGUGGGAGCGGGGCGCUCUUCGUAUUUGUUUAGUUUGUUUUGCCUUUGCUUGUGUGUUGGUUGAUUUCCACCGUGUCGAGCAGCAGCUGAAAAACCACAGAGGGAGGCCUCAUCGAAACGGAAAAAAAUAACCAAACAAUUUGCCGUCCGUGUUUCUUUUUCGAGUGUAUUCAUUGUGUUUGCAUAGCAGCGCGUGCUUUUCGCGUCCCGCGCCGGCGUGCUCGAGGCUGUUCUCACUGAUGUGUGUCGACGGAAGAAAGAUCGAUUUCAGUCCUCGCUUUCUUUUUUUUUUCGCUUGCUUUUUCCUGCUCAGCACGCUGUGCUGUUCUCUGGGUAUUUGCCUUGGCUGUUGGGAAACGCGCCUGCUGCAUUUACGUUUUUUUUUUUUAGCGGUGCUGCCGUCGUGGGUGCAUAGUCCUUUUAUAAGCCAUUUUGCGGCCAUUUUUCUGCCUUCCUGAGAUCGAGACGAAUUGAACUGCCGCUUCCUUGGUGUCUCGCGGUUGCGGAGGACGGAGGGGGUAGGGGGCUUUCGACGCACGCGGCGCGCAACAAGAAUAGGAGCACGUUCGGCACCCGCUUUCAGUGCAAGCUUCUCUUUCCCCAUCCUGUUGCGCUUUUCGUCCAUACCGCAAACUCGCUUAGUAAGCCUCCACACAGACAAGCCUUCAACGGCAAUCAUGGGUCUCGUGCCCUCCCGUGAGUCUCUCUACGAGACUCCGGCAGCCGCCUCGCAACCGCGCGCACUGCCCUUCAUCAGCCGCGCAGCGGAAAACUACAUGUACAAGACGAACCGCACGGAACGUGUAUUUGGCUCUGGCAUGGCGUUGGGCUCUGCCGGAGACGCGCCGAGACCAACGGCGCUGCUGAAUGGUGUGCCAACCGCUGAACUUGCGCACAAGAUUAUGGAGGCUGACCCGAACGCCGUAUUUAUCGAGGACCCGGCAGAGGCGACCGCGGCGGUGGCUGCGAGCCGAGGAAGCCGUCGAGGCUCUGCCAAAAGCACUGAAAUGCAGUGCCGAGGCCGCGACGCCGGUACCCUAGCGCUGGAGACCCCCGCAGCAGAGGCGCUCAGGCAGGGCAGGGUGCCGUAUGUGUACUAUUACGAACACCGCGUGCUUCCUCUCACCACGGAGUUCUUCCCCUCCCCAGAUUGUGUGCUCUUCCGCCAGCUGUGGCAUGCACGAAAGCAGCAGAACCCGCGGUACCACUUCCAGCUCGAUCACACGUGGUCGCCUGGGGCUCUGACAGACCCGACGGCAGUGUAUGAGUCCUUUACUGAGCUGGCAACGCGCAACAUGGCUGACAUUCAAGCGGCCUGCUUGUCAGCGGGGCAGCCGGUAGCAAAGGAGAACCUUGCACAGGCGCAGGGGCAGCUGCAGGCGGCCAUGCGUGCCUUGAACGGCGGUGGCGUCGAUAUGGGGCACUGCGCCGCUUCAUCCGCAGGAUCUCAGCGCACUCGAGUACCAUUCGCCACGCGCGAGGAGUUUUACAGCCUCGUCGUCCUCACAACAAAGGAAUCCGUGAUAUAUGAUACUAAUCAGGAGCUGCGCGCCGCCGUCUGCGGCGCGGCAACGUCUGGUGAGGCGAUGCGUAAGCGCACCGAUAAUGCCGGUAAGGAGCCUGCAGCAGAGGAAAGCAGUAAAGCGGAAAGAGAUCGUCAGCGCUUGCGUCCUGUGCCGUGCGCCGUUGUCCUCGUUCGACGCUGCAUGCCUGCGCACGAGUACCGGUACACAUACUUUGUCGCGAACAACGAGCGCCAUCACAAGGCAAGUGCCGGCGCCGCUGGAGGCUCUAGUCGCCGGCGAGGCCCGGCCAACGCCUGUGGAACAAGCGAAGCGCAUCAACCGCAGCAGAGGGAGUCGUGCUCGACGUUGGUGUGUGGUGCUAGUGUGCGCGCGGCUGUGGAGGAGUCACAAUUAGUCGACCAAACCCCUCAGGGUAAGGUCGGCGAUGACGAGUUGACAGUGCCAUGGGUGCAGGUGAGUGCACCGCAAGCGCCGCUUGGCCUUGCCGAGGUGCGGGUGGUGGGCAUGUACGGCUGCUGGACUGUUGAGGAGAUUCUACGACACACUCUUUUUGCCCCGACAGUGCACACCUCCUCUGACCCUGAUAGGGCGGCAGGCACUGCCGCAACGCAGAAUUCGCCAGCACGAGAGGCGAAUGUGGAGAAAGUGCUGCGUCGCGCCGCACCGCACGGUGUUCCAUCGUCGACGCUGGUGAACACUGCCUUCUUUGAGAAGCAGGUGGGCGACAAGGAGCAGUGCCACACGUACUUCGCCUUGUGCCGUCUCUUUGCUCACGGGAUGCGAAGGUGCAUCUUGGGCGACACGUCAGACAAGGCGGCGGUGACGAGCACGGGAGGCCACGCUGCGUGCGAACAGACCUCCGCGGAUGACGAGGUGCCCGACGAGCCAUCACAGCAGACGGGCGAGGCGUCGACGGAGCGCCAGAGAGCGGACCCGGCUUGGCAAGACUUCAUAGGCGCCCUCUCUGGAGGUGCGUCGGCGAUGUCGGCUUUUGGCGACCUCGCCAACUGCUUUCUUAUUCGCUUCUCGAACAUUCCGCAGCUGCAGCUGUGCCGGCAAAUCCGGCGCAUGCUGACGGAGCUGCAAGGCAUAUAUCCGACUCCGCCGUCGCUGGAGGGCUUCCAGGCCGCGCAGCGCCAGCGAAACAUGGCGGCCAUGUCAAAGAAGAUCGGCGCUAGCAACGGCGCAGGCACCGGGGCUGCUCAGGGAGGGGACCAAAGUGCUCAUCGUAGCCCUCCGCUGAAAUGCCGCAACGGCGAUGAGGACACUACUGCGCCGCCGAGACUUCAGGGAGAAAAUGAGGCCUCCCUGAUGGACAGCACUGGCGCGCCGCCGUCUGCUGUCGCGAAGACGGAUGCCAAGCAGCAACACGAAGGCGUCACCAUCGCUAAGCGAUGCGGAAAGCCUGCAGUCCUGCCGCUGUCGCUCGACCCCGAGGCAAUCGCCGAGCGUCCGCAUCAGCUGUGUGAGAGGGAGCGACUGGAGCGGGACGGAUUCUGCUGUUACGCGUCGCACGGCCUGGUCGUGUUCCGGCUCAGCCGGGCCGCAGUCGCCCGCGCGCUGGACCAGCUGAGCUUUGCGCCUCUACACGACUCCGUCGAGGCGCUCUGUGUUACCUUGACGGCUGCCGCACCGCCUCCGCUGACUUACCGUGGCGAGCUGCGACCACCAGCGAGGCUGCGAGCGCGCACGAUGGCAGCCGCAGCAGCAGAUGCGAGCGGCUCAGGCGAGGAGGUGGAGGACGGAGACGCCAAGGUGAGAGGCGGCGCCGUGACAAGCGCUGAGGCGCACUCUCCAGAUGCCCUUGCGAACAUGUACAACAAUGCAGUGCGGUACUCCUCCUCCUGCGCGACUGGAUUCUCGAUGGAGCCGUUGUGGCCGAUAAAGCUGGACGGCGCUUCGUGGGCGACACACGCGACGGCGCUCGAGGACACGCCUGAUGAGUUGAUCGGUGUCCUUCCGCGUAACUCGAUUGAGCAACGUCGCGGACGUCUGCUCCCGCUGCGUGGUGUCGUCAUGUCAGAGGGAGCGGCGGCAGCAGCCAAUGGUGCUUGCAACGGAGGGGCUGCGCAUCAAGGUUGCAGUUCCGGCACAUCUGCACCGUCACAGCCCCAUCAGCAGCGCCACAGUCAGUCUGCAUUGUCUUCGACACCCGCGUGCGCGUUGUUUCAGGUGGAUGUGUACACGGUCUCUUCUGAAUUGGACGGCAUGCCAUUUCGCGAAUUGGUGGAGAUGAUGCACCAGGAGCAGCAGCAGCGUUGGCAGUCGACAGCCUGCGGCGCCUCACCGGAGAGCACGCUGCGCUUGAUGAUUGAGUCGGUGGAUGCUCAAGGCAACGUUGAGCCGGACAGCGUGUUGAACUGGAGCCCGAUGUCGGCGCUCGGCUCGCUGCGGUGGAAGCGGGCCCUGGCGGCGGCGGGGCGCGGGUAUGCUGGAGCCAGUGUGGAUCGCAGCGAUGCGGCUGCCGAGGUGGCUGACAUGCGAAGCAUGUCGACACUGUCGGCAAACGUGCCGGGAUCGCAAGGGGUUGUCUCCAUCUUUGUGCGUGAGCCGGAGCGCAUUUUGCACACCGGCGACAGGAUUCGUUUUUCACCACACCGUGGUGGGUCGCCGAACUCUGGCGGGCGCAACUCUCCCAUGGCCGCUUCAGGCAGUGGCACCCCACACACCCGGUCACGCGUCGGAGGCAACGCGACCUCGGGAACCUCACAGUACGGCUACUGGUAUGUCGAUGACAACUUGACCACGGAGGACAUGAUCUUGUCGUGGAUGCGCCGCGUCGGUGGCCGCGCUCGCGAGACCUGCGGCACAGAUACUAAGUGGGUGCGCUUCCCCGAGCCCGUGCUGCAGGUCCUGCUGCGCUUCGCGCACACGUGCCGCCAGCAGCCGGGCGGUGGAUGGCUCGUCACGGGACAUGCGCUACGUCCUCUGCAUCCGGCCGACGAGGAGCUGGUGGAGCCGGACCUUCUGCAGAACUACCCGGACAUUUUGCGCACGCGCCGCUUCCGGCAGUGGCGCUUUUCACACGACGGCUACGUCUACUUUCAUGGCGUCACUGUGCGAAUCCCGGGCUCCUCUCCGCUGCCGUCGCACCCGCCACCCGCGGCAGUCAUGACCGCCUCAGCGUACCAUGCAGCGAUCCACAAUCGCGGCGAGAUGACCUUUGGCAUGUGUGGCAGACGCAGUCCAGGCUUGGCUGUCGUGUCGAGUGCCCGUGCCGCUUUCGAGCCUCCGCAGCAGCAGUCGGUGGUGCCGCCGCAAAGUUCCGUGAUGCAGUACGGUGAGGAAUCACCGCCGUCGGACGUUAUGCCACAUUGUGGUAGCGGAGGAGGCGGAGGCGGCCAGUACGGUGCCGGCGCUGCCACUGGCGGACCCGCAUACUAUGCAAAUCAAGCGAUGUAUCCUAUCAUGGGUGGCAGCGCCGGUGGCAGUGGUAGCAUGCCUAGAAAGCAUUAUGACCCCUCGAUGGCAUCUCAGCAGCUGCAUCCGUGCCUUUCAGUACUGCCUCAACAUCAGCAGUUCUCUCAGCACGUGCCCCAGCAGUAUUCACCGCAGCAACUUUCACAGAAAAAGCAGCACGUCGGCGGCGCUUCUCUUCACCACACAAUGCAGCAACAACAGACGGUGCCACAGCCACUGCAGCAGCGGCAGCAGCAGCACAGAGGGCCGGAGGCACAUUAUGCAUGCACUGCCCACUCUUCUAUGGUGGGUGGCAGUGAACAGGAAGCGACGCCAUCCGGCUACUACGGUAAUUCCUCGUCCAGCGCGGCCGAAGGGGCGGGCGGGGCGAGGCCUGCGACGCCAAAUACAAUGAAUGGGCUCUACCUCAACGAGACUGAUCUUCUGCAUAGCAACGCCGCUGCCACCAGCAGCAGCAGCAACCAGCAGCCGGAGUACCAGCCCAGAGGCUACCAUAGCCGCCAUGCUGAUGGUGCGAGUUUCAGCGAAGGAAUGCCCAGCGGUGAUGCAGGGUUCUUCGUCGAUUACCCUGACGGCACGUUUUACGAGUCCUCGGACAGAGCGCACUCUGCCGCCACAAUGGUGGUACCGGCACAGGUGACGAGUAGCUUCUACGGGGGUAUCUACAACCCAUCUGUAGAGCAGCCGCCCCACACGCCGCAGCAGCAACAGCAGCAGCAGCGGUACAGGUCUCAGGUGCAUUCGCCAUUCAAUGUUUGCGAACCGGCCAGCGGCGAUGCGAGUGGGUCGCGGCGCACUGACAACACGCUUCUGGCCUACGGACUACCGCCAAACGUGUCUGGCGUCGUGCCCCCUGGCGAAGAAGUACCGAACCCGCCGAUUACAGUUGCCGGGUGCGGGCGAGAUCAGGAGGAAGCUACAACUUCGUCCUCGGAGCCAUUUAUGAUGCAUGUGGCGAGCGGCGACCAUCAGCACCAGCAACACUCCCGGCAGCAGCCUCACUCAUCGAUGCUUCCACCGCCGUCUGCGCCAGCUCCUCCUCCUCCGCCGCAGCAGCCGAUGAAUCUCUCCUUACACGGGGAAGGCGACCGGGCGGGCCACGCGGCCGAGCGGCGCACAACAGACGACUAUCCACCUCGCCGGAGCCCCACCACAAUCCUCGCAGCCACAGCUGUGACCGUAUCGGCAGCAAAGCCAACGCCUCAGACGUUGAUUAUCCAGACGCUACGCGGCACUCACGCGACUGCGGGUCAUCGUGCGCCGCCAGUAGCGGCUUUUGCUCCUGAAGUUAUCGACCCCUCGCCUCUCAGCUCCAGCGGAGGCAACACAUGCCCGGUGAUGACGCCGAAAGACCGCACCGCCGAAGGCGCCGACAGUGGAGCCGAUAUUGUGAACGAUUGCAGCACGUCUAGCCAGCCGACUCGAGCGCGUGCGGUGCCGGUCUGCAAUCCAGAUUUUUCAUCCACCACGCAGCAGAUGCGUGUCGGCGCACAACAAGUGUACCAGCAGCCUCAGCAACAACAGCAGCCGCUACAACAAGCUCAGGCACCUCCGCCGCGUUCGCCUCAGCUGGCAUCCGGCCCUGGCUCGUUCCGCGACACCAUCACCACGGAUGUAAUUGAGGCGGACAGCAUCACCGUGCGCGUCAUGCAGCGCAAGCCGUCGAUGGCUCGCCAAUCAUCGUACAACGGGGCUACCGGUGGAGCAGCAGCGUCCGGCUAUAGGACCAGCAGCGGUGCCUUCGGAAACUCAUCCAACGUUGCUGGUGACGGCGGCGCCCCAGACGCCUUCUCGCCCUCGUCGAUGGGCUACGGUGCUAUGGGGGUGUCACCUUCUGGUGGUCUUGAAAGCAUGCGAGACGAAGCGAACUCCGUACACCGCAAGACCGGCGGUGUCUCAGCCAACGACAGCCGAGCUGCACCGGAGCUCCGGUCCUAUAGGCUGUCUCAAGUGCGGACCUCGACCACAGGGCAGCAAGUGGCUUCUGGACGUAGCACAGCUGCUGCCUUUGCGGUUCCUCAGCUUCAGCGGCAGAGCAGCAUGAUGGGUUCUUCAUUGCCCACGCAGCGGACGAGUCAGCGCAUCUCACACAAUCCGUACACAACUGCUGGCGCCCUGUGUGUCACACCGCUAGCAACCGCUGCGGGGUUGUCGAUUCACUCACAGGGUGGCGCUGGCGGCUGUAAGGCUGGCAGCAACGGGCAACAUGACUCCUUUGCAGACGCACUCGACAACCGCUACGGCAGCGCCAGCGACUUCAACGCCAGCGUUUCUGCCUUUCCACUGAGCCUUGCACACAACGCCAACAGUACGACGCAUGGUACGUACUACUCGCGGUGUGCAGGCGACCCGGCAGGGUUCAGGAGCAGCCCUGCAACCUCUCAGCGACCAAGUCUCUACCCGUCGCAACGCGCUACAGGCGAUGUGGACGACUCGUCCCGCGCGGAUCAACAACAAGAGGGGCGACAUGAGUCAUACGCGUCCUUCUAUGAAGGUGCCGAGGGUGCACCGGCGCCGACACACUACUCCGACAUUUACCACAAUGCCGCCGCUGAUGGCACGACGCAGGGCUUCUUCUUCUCCAUGGGCGAGUACGAGGAGACCGGCAACUCCGCAGAGGAGCUGUACGGCGGUAGCCCCGACUAUCAGUAUCAGAGUUCCCCAGGCUGUGCGCUGCAACUGGAAGGGAGGCCGGAUAAGGGUGCCGGGCGUGGAGGCAGUGCCUACGGAGGGGUGCCUCUGCCAACUCGUAACAUGCACUACCAACAACUGCAGCAGCGCAACGUGGGUGGCGGUAAGGCGUGUAAUGGUGGCGCGUACGAGGACAGUACUCCAACGAGUGCGCUUCCGCAUUCCUCACAGCCUCAUCAGCAACACGCUUACAGCCCAACAUCGGCAGCUUUUCAACGGCAUUAAGUCAAGAGGUGCGGUGAGAGCGUCUUUGUCUUGCACCACAUGUCUCGCUGAGUCGCGCGCUCACCUGCGAGCGAUAUAAGCCAUCCUCAGAUGCGCGAGCCGCCAGCCCUCUGUGGGCACGUGGGAUGCUCUUGCAGGCUUUUUUUCCCUUCGGCUGCUUAUCUGCUUUUCUUGUGAGUGCAACUGAACUGGGAGAACGUUGCACUGCUGAGUAUUGCUCGCCGCCGCCGCUGUCCUCCUUUCCUUUCUCUGUUCUCCGUUCUCCCUCUAGGCCUCCUCCCCACCACUCGCCGACCGUAAGGCCGUCUGCGAUGCUCUCCGCACCUCUUCCUGUGCGCCUUUUCCACACGCAUGUGCGUGCUCUUCUCUGCAGGCGCCAUUCAGCUGCUUGCUGGGCGAGAGGGAGGUGGUGGUGCAGUCGUGUUCAUGGGUUGGGUGGCCUGCACGAGUUGAAGUGCCGCGAACGCAUCGCUCCCUUCUGCUUUCCUUUGUGCGUGUUCUCAUCGCAAGCCGUGGUGAUAAUGCCGGCCACUUUCAUGUGUGGCAUCGAGGGCCCCGCGCCUCACACGCCGUGGGGGGAGGAGAGGGGGGAGGCCAGGCAACCUGCAGCCUGCCCUCGGGUACGGCUGCGGACUCUUGCCGUUGGCGGACAGACCUGGGCUGGCGCUGUGCCAAAGAGACGUGCGGUGAUGCUGACGUUUGUGCCCGCUCACUAGGCAUGGUGUCGGCGGCUCGACAACUACGGAAACACCGACUCGUGUGAAAGGCGUGCAGAGUCCGGAGCGGGCGUCGUGCCCCUGCGGCCAUGGACUCCGACGAACAUCUCGCCUGCCGCGGCACAUGCGGGCAGGCGAUUCAUCGACGCCCGAGGUGGCAUCGAUGGAGAUGGACGAUGCGGGCAGCGACCCCCCUCCCCCGGGCAGCGGCGUUGUGAGGCGUGCGCCAAGGUGCAGAGGCGCUGCUGCUGUGCACAGGCACUGUGAAGCGGAGCUGGCACGGUGCAUGGCGCGACCGAGUCCUGUGGGCGCCGAUGUGGAGUGCCGCGGCACGAGGCGACUGAGGGCGAAGCGUGGCGCACAGGCAGAGCGCGCGUGGCCUGCGAGGGCCGUGGCGUGCAGCUGGCCAGCUUCCUCCUCGGGCUGGCCCGGCGUCCGUGCGCCUAGCCGACCCCCUGCUGCCCGCGCGACCGACGCCACCGCCUCCGCCCUGGAGCAGGACCGUGGACGUGGACGGCGUGGAUGGAGGCGCGCGGUCCGGCCGAGCCGGUGUUGCGCCGGUGGCGCAGCGGGUGUGCGAGGAAGAGGGCCGAGGAGGGACAGGAGGAGCCCGUGAGACGCACGGCCCGCCUCGACGGCAUGACGGCUCGCGCUAGAGGGCCCGGAUGCAGCCGUGGCGCGGCAGGGGCAGGAGAGAGGUGUGGCUGUGCGCGUAUGUCUGCUGGCGUGCUCGUCAUAAGGUGAACACCUUGGGGGUGUAAAAGGCCGUUUGCAUGUGCUUCAUGGCAUAUUGUAUUGAUAGGGGGCUUAUUCUCUCUUUGUUUUCCUCCACAGUUCGGACUUGGGGACCCUUUCCUCGUUUGUGGACAGCUUCUUCGGAUGUCUACGCUUUUGUGAGAGUGUGCGUGGGGUCGGGUGGGGCUCGCGUUGCGCGUGCCUGUCGCGCGUUAGCGUCAUGUGAUCAUCGCCCCUCAUCCUUUCCUGUCUGUUGCACACUGUGUGUGCGUGGAGGGGGGUGGCUGUGCAACUCUGUUCGCCUGGUAGGGCGUGCGCGGUGGAUUAUGUUGACUGCAGAAAGGAUGACGGGUGCACAGCGAAGCUACACGGUAGCGGGGAAUCAUCUCAAUUCGUUCUUGUGAGUCUGUGUUGGUAUCUUUUCUCUGCUGCUGGCAGCCCUUUGCGCGUUUCAUCUGGUGGCUUCUCUCUUCUGUUUUAGUCGUCAAUGCAUGCGCGCGUGUGGUAUUUCUCCGCUCUCUGUGUGCAGUCCCCGUGCCGGUCGGACCGAAGAGUGCGGGAGCCUCUCAUCACGCGCUCUCAGGCGCGCGCGCAUUGAACGGGUGGGCGCGUGUUCAGCUCCUUGCGUUCAUUGCCAAGCGUGUGCUCGCUCUUGCUUAGCUUGACCUUCGUUUUUUCUGUUUGGCCCUCUCCCUUGCUGUCAGGUGCACAAAAUCUCGGACUUUUCUCGGUGGACCAAGGCGACGGGCACCAUGACCCAGACGUCUCAGGAUAGCGUUAUUCCGCUGAUACGUGUGCAGCUGCCAGUGCUUUUUUUCCUUGCUUGCUUCAUUUCUGGCGGGCUUCUCUUGCUUUCCAUUUGUUGUUCGUUGUAUUGUGUCGGUGCGCUGGCGCCGACUGCACGUGCAAGCGUAAGCCCCUUCCCCUCCCUAUGCAUGGCGCGGAUGUAUGGCUCUUGCGCGUCGUCUUCUCAACUCCCUCUUCUCCGUCUUCUUCAAUGACCUGUAGUGAUACUUUCUCCGUCGCUGUCUUUUAUUUCCGCAUGCCUUGCCUGCGGACCACAUGUGCACAGAAACGCUGAGCAAAGAAAAAAAGAAAAGUGCAUGCCCAUCUCGGCUUCUUCACAACAGAACACGUUCUCCUGUGUCUUUCCCAUUCUUCUCUCUUUCUUUUUCGCACGCGUGCGCGCGCCUCUGCAGUCGGGUGCGCCUUUCUCCGGAUGCUCGAGUGUUGUAAAUUGGCUUUCUUCCUCCCUCUCUCUGCUGCGUGUAGCGGCGUCCCGGCGCGAGGGAGCACGCGCAUGUGGGCGUGCUGUUGCAUUUUGUGGCGCCGGUGUCCCUUCAUUUUGUUUGGUAUUCUCAUUUUUGUUCUUUUUUUGCCGUUGUUGUUCCGUUCGUCCCUUUCUUCCUUCUCUCCUUCUCUCCCGCCCAUCGUCUCUUCUUUCCGCCCCGUCUUGUUGCUCAUCUGCAGGGGAGAUGGCAGCCGGCUUGCUCUCUCUAUCUUUAUUUUUUGUCCUUGUCACUGUCUAUGUGCUGUCGCACGCUGCCGUCUUGUGGAAUGCUUACAUCUUCGUCUCGGACGAAGCGCUCCUUGUCUGGCGCCAUGCGGUGGGCUGGAAGGCACCCCUGUGUGUCCGGCAGCGCCCGCGCCUCUGCCCUCCCUCUUCCUGCUCUGCUGCUGCCCGUGCUGUCGUUCCUGACGACGGUCUUCUUUUUGGUCACCUGGACGGAGGCACACAUGGAUAAGAAAACAUCGUGGACAGCAGCGCACGCAGCGCGAAUGAGCGCAAGAAAGAGAGGUGUAUGCGCUCGGGGGGGGGGGGGUGCAUCCUUGUGUGUCGACGUGCCACUGGUGUUGAGGAUGGAUUCACAAAGGGGCCAGAAGCGGAAAGCCAUCGUUGACCCUUCCAAGCUUGCAGAUUUUUUUUGUGUUUACUGUCGAAUGACUUUCCGAGUAAUAUAGUUGUUGCUGCCGCCCCGACGCUGUUUGAGAAGGCUGCAUCUGCCUUUGCAGGAGUUACUCGUACCUGAUGGAACACCAUAUUGAGAACGACGUCUACCGUGAUAUGAUGCGUCAGUGCACGGGCGCGCACGUGUACAAGGUACCCCUCUGCACGAUUUUUUUGUUGCGGCAUGCAUUGGUGAUUAUGCUUUAAGCCUUCGUGAAUGGGCUUGUGGGCCCGUAUCUGUUUCGAGUAGACCCGCAAUUUGCCGAUAGAAAAGAAACAUAACCGCGAAAGAUGUGUAGCGCCUGUGCCGUUUUUCGGACCCGGCUCCUCUUUUUGCUCAAGUGACACAGGAGGGAGCCCUCCCUUCCCCG